RNAcentral lists this ribosomal RNA (466 nucleotides) under Vreelandella stevensii. RNAcentral's name for it is "partial 16S ribosomal RNA". It matches the Rfam family "Bacterial small subunit ribosomal RNA", at positions 338 to 795 of the family's 1533-position model. Lineage: Bacteria; Pseudomonadati; Pseudomonadota; Gammaproteobacteria; Oceanospirillales; Halomonadaceae. The record is from RNAcentral.
CCUACGGGAGGCUGCAGUGGGGAAUAUUGGACAAUGGGCGAAAGCCUGAUCCAGCCAUGCCGCGUGUGUGAAGAAGGCCUUCGGGUUGUAAAGCACUUUCAGUGGGGAAGAAAGCCUUGGGGCUAAUACCCUCGAGGAAGGACAUCACCCACAGAAGAAGCACCGGCUAACUCCGUGCCAGCAGCCGCGGUAAUACGGAGGGUGCGAGCGUUAAUCGGAAUGUACUGGGCGUAAAGCGCGCGUAGGCGGUCUGAUAAGCCGGUUGUGAAAGCCCCGGGCUCAACCUGGGAACGGCAUCCGGAACUGUCAGGCUAGAGUGCAGGAGAGGAAGGUAGAAUUCCCGGUGUAGCGGUGAAAUGCGUAGAGAUCGGGAGGAAUACCAGUGGCGAAGGCGGCCUUCUGGACUGACACUGACGCUGAGGUGCGAAAGCGUGGGUAGCAAACAGGAUUAGAUACCCCGGUAGUC